Molecule: long non-coding RNA, 369 nt
Filed under: Mus spicilegus (steppe mouse)
Lineage: Eukaryota; Metazoa; Chordata; Mammalia; Rodentia; Muridae
Description: lncRNA (ENSMSIG00000022184.1)
Source: RNAcentral
GUUCAAGAUGGGGCCACUUGGGAGAUCUUGAAUAAAGAGCUUUCCAUAUAGCUCCAUAGGUAAGGGGUGCUAGAGUCCAUCCCUAAGGGGCUGUUUACUGAAUGGGCUGUGUACCCAGAGGGAGCAGUGUAUGUAGUGGCUUUACUGGAUACCCAUCAUUGGUCUUUCCUGACCAAUGAGGAGGGGUCAGAGGUUCAGUUUUCUGAUCUCCCACAGAAACAGGUGGGGCUAAAGUCCAGACUUCCUGGUCUGUUUAUAUGUGAGGAACCAGAGACUGUCCUGCCUCAUUCCUGCAUUCCCAUGUUCUUGAGGAAGACUCAGAAGGAUACAGACGGUACCAGCCCCACCUUCUCUAGCAGUCACUUCUAG